Molecule: ribosomal RNA, 119 nt
Filed under: Capitella teleta
Lineage: Eukaryota; Metazoa; Annelida; Polychaeta; Capitellidae
Source: RNAcentral
GUCUACGGCCAUACCACGUUGAAAACACCGGUUCUCGUCUGAUCACCGAAGUUAAGCAACGUCGGGCCCGGUUAGUACUUGGAUGGGUGACCGCCUGGGAAUACUGGGUGCUGUAGACU